UAAGCAUAUCCAUAAGCGGAGGAAAAGAAACCAACAGGAAUUGCCCCAGUAACGGCGAGUGAAGCGGCAACAGCUCAAAUUUGAAAUCUGGCCCCAGGCCCGAGUUGUAAUUUGCAGAGGAUGCUUUUGGCGCGGUGCCUUCCGAGUGCCCUGGAACGGGACGCCACAGAGGGUGAGAGCCCCAUCUGGUUGGACACCAAGCCUAUGUAAAGCUCCUUCGACGAGUCGAGUAGUUUGGGAAUGCUGCUCUAAAUGGGAGGUAUAUGUCUUCUAAAGCUAAAUACCGGCCAGAGACCGAUAGCGCACAAGUAGAGUGAUCGAAAGAUGAAAAGCACUUUGAAAAGAGGGUUAAAUAGUACGUGAAAUUGUUGAAAGGGAAGCGCUUAUGACCAGACUUGGGCCCGGUGAAUCAUCCAGCGUUCUCGCUGGUGCACUUUGCCGGGCACAGGCCAGCAUCAGUUCGCCGCGGGGGAUAAAGGCUUCGGGAAUGUGGCUCCCUCGGGAGUGUUAUAGCCCGUUGCACAAUACCCUGGGGCGGACUGAGGUUCGCGCAUCUGCUAGGAUGCUGC
RNAcentral lists this small RNA (569 nucleotides) under Subuliphorum camptosporum. Its description in RNAcentral is "eukaryotic LSU rRNA". It matches the Rfam family "Eukaryotic large subunit ribosomal RNA", at positions 35 to 629 of the family's 3401-position model. Lineage: Eukaryota; Fungi; Ascomycota; Sordariomycetes; Hypocreales; Chlorocilliaceae. The record is from RNAcentral.